CCUACGGGUGGCUGCAGUGGGGAAUAUUGGACAAUGGGCGAAAGCCUGAUCCAGCCAUGCCGCGUGUGUGAAGAAGGCCUUCGGGUUGUAAAGCACUUUCAGUGGGGAAGAAAGCCUUGGGGCUAAUACCCUCGAGGAAGGACAUCACCCACAGAAGAAGCACCGGCUAACUCCGUGCCAGCAGCCGCGGUAAUACGGAGGGUGCGAGCGUUAAUCGGAAUUACUGGGCGUAAAGCGCGCGUAGGCGGUCUGAUAAGCCGGUUGUGAAAGCCCCGGGCUCAACCUGGGAACGGCAUCCGGAACUGUCAGGCUAGAGUGCAGGAGAGGAAGGUAGAAUUCCCGGUGUAGCGGUGAAAUGCGUAGAGAUCGGGAGGAAUACCAGUGGCGAAGGCGGCCUUCUGGACUGACACUGACGCUGAGGUGCGAAAGCGUGGGUAGCAAACAGGAUUAGAUACCCUUGUAGUC
This 465-nucleotide ribosomal RNA is filed under the name Vreelandella stevensii. RNAcentral's name for it is "partial 16S ribosomal RNA". It matches the Rfam family "Bacterial small subunit ribosomal RNA", at positions 338 to 795 of the family's 1533-position model. Lineage: Bacteria; Pseudomonadati; Pseudomonadota; Gammaproteobacteria; Oceanospirillales; Halomonadaceae. The record is from RNAcentral.